ACCCAAAGCUGGGGGUGUUGGCGUCCAUCGGGGCGCCGACUGAGAAAGUCCCUUUGAACCUGAUUGAGGUAAUCCUCGCGCAGGGAAGCUGGUCCCGGAUCUG
Molecule: non-coding RNA, 103 nt
Filed under: Burkholderiales bacterium
Lineage: Bacteria; Pseudomonadati; Pseudomonadota; Betaproteobacteria; Burkholderiales
Description: TPP sequence
Rfam family: TPP riboswitch aptamer (THI element)
About the family: Vitamin B(1) in its active form thiamin pyrophosphate (TPP) is an essential coenzyme that is synthesised by coupling of pyrimidine and thiazole moieties in bacteria. The previously detected thiamin-regulatory element, thi box was extended, resulting in a new, highly conserved RNA secondary structure, the THI element, which is widely distributed in eubacteria and also occurs in some archaea.
Source: RNAcentral